AACGAACGCUGGCGGCAUGCCUAACACAUGCAAGUCGAACGAGACCUUCGGGUCUAGUGGCGCACGGGUGCGUAACGCGUGGGAACCUGCCCUUAUGUUCGGAAUAACUCCCCGAAAGGGGUGCUAAUACCGGUUAAUGUCUUCGGACGAAAGAUUUAUCGCCUUUGGAUGGGCCCGCGUUGGAUUAGCUAGUUGGUAGGGUAAAAGCCUACCAAGGCGACGAUCCAUAGCUGGUCUGAGAGGAUGAUCAGCCACACUGGGACUGAGACACGGCCCAGACUCCUACGGGAGGCAGCAGUGGGGAAUAUUGGACAAUGGGCGAAAGCCUGAUCCAGCAAUGCCGCGUGAGUGAUGAAGGCCUUAGGGUUGUAAAGCUCUUUUACCCGGGAUGAUAAUGACAGUACCGGGAGAAUAAGCUCCGGCUAACUCCGUG
RNAcentral lists this ribosomal RNA (433 nucleotides) under uncultured bacterium. RNAcentral's name for it is "partial 16S ribosomal RNA". It matches the Rfam family "Bacterial small subunit ribosomal RNA", at positions 29 to 507 of the family's 1533-position model. The record is from RNAcentral.